Molecule: long non-coding RNA, 787 nt
Filed under: Homo sapiens (human)
Lineage: Eukaryota; Metazoa; Chordata; Mammalia; Primates; Hominidae
Description: non-protein coding lnc-EXOSC8-6:1
Source: RNAcentral
GCUGCCAGGAGCCUGGAGCGCUGCGUUCCGCGCAGGACGCCGGUGAGGCCCGCAGAGACUUGCGUCCGGGCGGGAGGCGGGGCCCAGGAUCUCUGCUCAAUCCUGGAGUCCGAGUCCGCAAAGUGGGAGGGAGGGUGUAGAUGUGAAUUUGGGGAAAAACGACCCUGUUGAAUUUCUAGAGUGGAAGAAACAUAGAACUAGCUUUUCUCUUUGCUUAGCACAUACAAAUGGAAAAACAGCGACACCGUUACCUACAUUUACUAGUCCAAUGCGUACAACCUUCUGUAGUAUAUCAACUGCCAAUGAGUUUAUGUUUUUAAAAAAACCACCCCAGAGAAGGGUUCUAAAAAUUCAGAAACCGCAUUACUAGCACACAUUGUAAGGUCUGUUUUGUUUUGUUUGUUCGUUUGUUUUUCAGACAGAGUCUCGCUCUGUCGCCCAGGCUGGAGUGGAGUGGAGAAAUCUCAGCUAACUGCAACCUUUGCCUCCUGGGUUCAAGCGAUUCUCCCUGCCUCAGUCUCCGGAGUAGCUGGGAUUAUAGGCGUGCACCACCACACCCGGCUAAUUUUUGUAUUUUUAGUAGAGACUGUUUCACUAUGUUGGGCAGGCUGCUCUUGAACUCCUCAUCUCAAGUGAUCCACCCGCCUUGGCCUCCCAAAGUGCUGGGAUUACAGGCGUGAGCCAUCAUGCACGGCCUGGGGUGAAUCUUUUUAAUGAGCAUUUAUUAUUUGCCGUUCACAAUGCCAAGGGUCAUAAUGAAUGAAAGUGUCUUGGAAUUAGAGUUAGU